Molecule: non-coding RNA, 27 nt
Filed under: Homo sapiens (human)
Lineage: Eukaryota; Metazoa; Chordata; Mammalia; Primates; Hominidae
Source: RNAcentral
UAGAAAAGUAGUACUGGCUUAGGGGUC